This 23-nucleotide non-coding RNA is filed under the name Gallus gallus (chicken). The record is from RNAcentral. Lineage: Eukaryota; Metazoa; Chordata; Aves; Galliformes; Phasianidae. RNAcentral also lists the same sequence under 1 other name.
CUUUUAAUCUGAGGGUCCAGGGU